GUUUGGAUGAAUGGUGCUGUCAAGCCUUGGCUGGUGUGACUUGUACUGACAUUGGUUCACCAUACAUACACUUAAGGCCUUUAAAUAUAUAUGAUGUAUAAUUAGCACACAGUCCAAAUGCGAAACGACUUCUUCUCUGGACCAUCCGUCCGUAUUAUAAGAACUUUCUACUCUCAGCAAUCUUCUUCAUAUCAGUCUUCUUUCGAAGAAGAAAUAGUCUUUCAGAA
RNAcentral lists this long non-coding RNA (227 nucleotides) under Prunus dulcis (almond). Its description in RNAcentral is "sRNA ncRNA". The record is from RNAcentral. Lineage: Eukaryota; Viridiplantae; Streptophyta; Magnoliopsida; Rosales; Rosaceae.